Molecule: transfer RNA, 85 nt
Filed under: Thermoprotei archaeon
Lineage: Archaea; Thermoproteati; Thermoproteota; Thermoprotei
Description: tRNA-Ser
Rfam family: tRNA
About the family: Transfer RNA (tRNA) molecules are approximately 80 nucleotides in length. Their secondary structure includes four short double-helical elements and three loops (D, anti-codon, and T loops).
Source: RNAcentral
GGGGUGCCCGAGCGGUCUAAGGGGGUGGGCUCGAGACCCACUGGGCUUUGCGCCCGCGCGGGUUCAAAUCCCGCCCCCGGCGCCA